AUGCUUGCACGUCGACAUCUAUCACACCCUCCGGCUUGUCCCUUCUGUGUUCGAGCUCCAGAGAGAAUCAACCACAUCUUACUUGGGUGCGUAUUUGCUAUACAAGUGUGGCUCUCCAUCCUCAACCACUGGGAUAAACUAACUUGGCUACCUAGCGCGGAUGCUAAUCUGAUGGACUGGUGGACCUCAUUAAAUCCACAACCAAAGCAUAGGAAGGACACAUGGAUAGUAAUUGUGCUAGUAGCAUGGAUGUUAUGGAAGCACAUGAAUGAUGUGGUGUUCAAUGGAACGGCUCCUUCCACAAGUGAGAUUCUCAAGAAGGUCGAUCUACAAGGACAAGACUAG
This 345-nucleotide ribosomal RNA is filed under the name Triticum aestivum (bread wheat). RNAcentral describes it as "partial small subunit ribosomal RNA". Lineage: Eukaryota; Viridiplantae; Streptophyta; Magnoliopsida; Poales; Poaceae. The record is from RNAcentral.